RNAcentral lists this transfer RNA (101 nucleotides) under Ephemerocybe angulata. Its description in RNAcentral is "Coprinellus angulatus tRNA". It matches the Rfam family "tRNA". From Rfam's summary of the family: Transfer RNA (tRNA) molecules are approximately 80 nucleotides in length. Their secondary structure includes four short double-helical elements and three loops (D, anti-codon, and T loops). The record is from Rfam by way of RNAcentral. Lineage: Eukaryota; Fungi; Basidiomycota; Agaricomycetes; Agaricales; Psathyrellaceae.
GCCCGCCUAGCUCAAUCGGCUAGAGCGUCAGACUUUUACGGACAUAUCUCCUCGUGGGAAAGUUCAUCUGAAGGCUGCGAGUUCGACCCUCGCGGUGGGCU